CUACUCCCAGAUGUGGUCUUUCUGGUUCUGAAGCUUUUGCUUCAGUCACCCUGAAUUUUGCCAGCCCUAUGCAUGCUAUACCUUGGAUUGCCAACUUGCCCUCACUGAAGCCAGUUUCUCUGGUUAGAAUAGUUGCCCCAACCCAUGCCUAAUACUCUAGUAAACAAGGUUCUACCUGGGCUUAGGUUAACUUUUGCUCCUUUGGGCCCUGUGUUCUACCAGCAUUCCAUUUAUCUGAAACUCUCCGUCACCUUAAGAACUUAUCUGUUCUUUAAUGAUUUGCUGCUGCUUCCUGGGUUCGAAAGAACCCAGUUCAGGAGUUUCUGUUUUAGUUUGAGAUCUUAUAGGCCUGUCUCAUCAGGUUGGUGUCAGCCCAGCUAGGAUUAGGCAGAAUUGGGUGGGGGCUGUAGUGCAUUUUUGGCACAGCAUGUACCUGUCUGACUAAUUCUCUGUCUUUUCUUUCCUGUUGCAAUUCAUGGGUCUUAGCAUCUUCUGAAUGGUGUUUAGUAGGUCAUCCUGUUGAUUUCCUGCUAGGGAGUAGCAUACUCUGGCUCUGUACCAUUGGCCAAGGGACUUAAGGAUAGAUGAGGGGCUACAGUUUUGUUAAAUGGAACAAUAUGAAGAGAUGGCAUUGUAAAAAAAAAAAAAGGCUUGGCAGCAGGGCCCAUUUGAAUGGUUGGUCCUUGGCUCCUUUGUUGAUAUAGGCAGAUCCUUGAUGGGAAUUUGGAAUGAUCCCAAAUAUUGUAGAUCACUGGUACAUCAAGUCAUCCUCAAGGUUGUCUGUGUAACAGUCUUGAAUGAUAUUUUGUCAGUCUUUGGAGAUUCUCUGUAUAGGGUUUAAUCAUUUAGUUAUUUCAGUUGAGCCUGUUUAGUUUCUUUGCAAGGAGAUAAGAAAUGUGAAAGAGAUGCAGACAUUAGGGGAAAAAAGUCAGGAGCCUUGUUUCCCCACCCUCUACUUGGGUUCUGGAACUAGACUCAUAGGUGAGUAGUGAGGAGCUGGGCCCAAGCACAUUAAUCCUAAAUCUAGCUCUGCUUUGCGCUUGCUCCAGUUCUUGUAUCAAAUUCACUUCAAGCCACCCAGAGUAGUAUGUAGAGGAGUCAUUCAGGACCGUGCUUAUACUUCAUUGUAUCAAAUGGGAGAUCCAGUAAUUUAUAGCCUAUUGUUUCUGGAGCCUGGAGAUGGCUCUGCAUAAGAUUUGCUGAAGCAAAUUUUAUUACAUUAGAAGAGAACCUAGCUGGCUGCAUCCUACACUGGAAGCUUUUAGAUGCUAAUAAGGAGGUCAUGUAAAGGUCACAGAAUGACUCUGGAAUCCAUUCCCCGCCAAGAAAGCAUGGGCUCUCCUAGAUACUCCAGGAUAAUCUUGUUUUAAGGUCAGCUGAUGAGCAACAUUAAUUUUAUCUGCACUCUUAAUUCCCCCUUCCUAUGUAAUUGUGCUGUGUAACAUAGGACAUGAGCAAUUGGUGGCGGUGGGGGUUAUUACUUUGGCCACCACAGUAACUAUUUUACGCCAGGUACUCAGCUAAGCACUGGUGAAUUAAGCAUGAAUAACACACACUCCCUAAUCUGUCUGUCUGUGUCAUCCCUUUAUGUCAAAAGAUGUCUUUUUGUCACUUCCAGCUGGAUC
This 1625-nucleotide long non-coding RNA is filed under the name Homo sapiens (human). Its description in RNAcentral is "HSALNT0076864". Lineage: Eukaryota; Metazoa; Chordata; Mammalia; Primates; Hominidae. The record is from RNAcentral.